AAUCAACGCUGGCGGCGCGCUUAACACAUGCAAGUCGAGCGAGAAAGGGGAGCAAUCCCUGAGUACAGCGGCGUACGGGUGAGUAACACGUGGGUAAUCUGCCUUUUAGUGGGGAAUAACCCUGGGAAACCGGGGCUAAUACCGCAUAAUCCUGUGAAGGGAAAGCAGCAAUGCGCUGAAAGAGGAGCCCGCGGCCGAUUAGCUAGUUGGUGAGGUAACGGCUCACCAAGGCGGNGAUCGGUAGCCGGCCUGAGAGGGCACACGGCCACACUGGCACUGAAACACGGGCCAGACUCCUACGGGAGGCAGCAGUGGGGAAUCUUGCACAAUGGAGGCAACUCUGAUGCAGCGACGCCGCG
RNAcentral lists this ribosomal RNA (359 nucleotides) under uncultured bacterium. RNAcentral describes it as "bacterial SSU rRNA". It matches the Rfam family "Bacterial small subunit ribosomal RNA", at positions 32 to 401 of the family's 1533-position model. The record is from RNAcentral.